GCAGCUUUCCUUUCUCCCGGCUGCCCCCGCCUCCCGCCCCGAAUGACGGGGAGGGUCGCUCUGCGCAGGCGCCUGCAGGGCAGCGCCAGCCGGCGGGCGGCUCUGAAUCCGGGCCUGGGCCUGGGCCUCAGCGCGGGCGGAGGCGAAGGCCUGCUUGAGGGAGUGGUCGCCGGGGAAAUUGGCAUCUCUUUGCAAAAAAGUACCCAAGGAGCGCGGGAGAGCUCGGCGUAGAGUGGGCGUCCAAUGGAGUCUCGCUCUAUCACCCAGGCUGGAAUGCAGUGGCACGAUCUCGGCUCACCACAACCUCCGCCUCCCGAGUUCAAGCCAUUCUCCUGCCUCAGCCUCCCGAGUAGCUGGGAUUACAGGUCACUUGUCCCAGUGAUGAAGUUCACAGCAGAGCUGGAAUUUGAACUCUUUGCCCACAGUGUGUGGCGUGGUGCUACCUGCAACCCAAAUAGCUCUACCAUGAAGCCAGGGCCUGGGAGGGCCUGCUGAUCAGAUGCCUCAGAGCAGCAUUUCUCCUACUUUAAUAUGCACACAGAUCACUUGGGGAGCAUGUUAAAAAGUCGAUCCUGAUUCCUUGGAUUUGAGGAUGGGCUGGAGACUCUCCAUUUCUAAUAAGCUCUCAAGUGAGGCCAAUACUGCUGGUUCCAGAGGCAAAGCCCUAGACUCCAGGGUCUAGAACUGUGUAGGACCUAAAUCUAAAAUGUACUGGGGAGGGGAAUAAUGGAACACUAAAUUAUUUAGGAGACAGUUCACAGUCAUGAUUCUACCCACCUAAAAUGCUUUUUGAUAAAAUUUAAAUUUUCGGACAUCAUUUCCAUUGAAUAAACAUGUAGAAUGAGCCUA
Molecule: long non-coding RNA, 849 nt
Organism: Pongo pygmaeus (Bornean orangutan)
Lineage: Eukaryota; Metazoa; Chordata; Mammalia; Primates; Hominidae
Exons: 3
Source: RefSeq, a predicted model, not a curated record